Molecule: long non-coding RNA, 370 nt
Organism: Rhipicephalus sanguineus (brown dog tick)
Lineage: Eukaryota; Metazoa; Arthropoda; Arachnida; Ixodida; Ixodidae
Exons: 2
Source: RefSeq, a predicted model, not a curated record
CGCAUGAGACGUUGCGGCUAAGACUACCCUGAUUUCUUCUGGGUCAGCGGUUCCAGAGAUGCACCAAGAGCGGCGACAACACGAAAGUCGUUCGUCUAAUUAUCUCAGGUUGUCUGCGCCCCUCGUAAAACCCUUUGGGCACGCCUGACCGACUGACGGAUUAGGAAGAGUUGUUGGCCGUCGAGGCGGCUUGCUUUGUCGUCAAGGUGCCCCGGACAAAGGGCCCAGCGUCUGGGAACCGUCUGCGGAUGCAUUUCCCACGUUCUCCGUGGCGCCUUGGUGCCGCUGUUUCCACAAUUCGUGGUCUGCCUGGCGCCGCAUACCCAUCACUGCAACAGACUACGAAAUUGACUUCCACGUAAGACUCAAC